UCCGCCUUCAUGAGUAGAUGAUGUUGGGGUUGGCAACUCCGCAUUCAUCAACACUCUCUCCGGCUAAGUUCUCUUCUAUACAACGCCGCUAAUCUCCUUCUUCCGAAAUGUUGGGUAAGCGUUUAUCUUUGUAUAUUAUUAUUUUUCUCCUUUUGUUCUCGCUACGCAACCAGUAAUUUUUUUGUCUUGAGAAUAUCACUUUUAGCAUUUUGGUAGGCACUAAACAUGACCAGUGAUGCAUAAGGAGAUCUACCUUGAUUGGUGGAAGUGAUAAUAUAUGCAGGAGAUUGUUUGGUAACUAAAGAGCUUGUCCAUAUGUAAAAGAAGAUGGCACAUAUGAAAUAAGGUUAAGGAAACAUUGACUAUGGUAACUAGAAACGUAAUCGUAACUGGAGUUAUGACAUGGUGAGGAUGAUGCUUAAUUGAGUAUUUUUUUCUUUGAAACUAGUGUACUUGAAGAGGAAGAGAAGCCACUUAAAAGAGAUGAAUCUGAUUAGAAGAUAUAUAUAUAUAUAGGUAAUCCAUUAUCUACAAUUAAUAAUGGAUUGUUAAGUUUUAUUAAACUGAUUCACUUAAAUUACGAAGCAGUUUAUGAUUAACCUAAUAUCAUUCCAUUGUAUCACUUAAACCUAACAUAAAAUCUACCUUUUUAUGAUUAACUCUCCUCGGAAAUAGUGUAGAAGGUCAACUGGAAUUCAUUAUCCGAUAUUUUUCCUUCAUUUUAAUAAAGUUUAGUUUCCUUGUCCGUCGCAAAUUAUUGGUCUUGUUAGGCUUUUAAAGAGAAUAUAACACAAUGUUUUUGUUUUGCUUUGCUAGGGUUAUCUUCUGAGUUUGUUCUGGUGUUCAUCAUGCGGUUUGUGGAAGCUGAGGGUAUUAGUCUUCUGUGGAGUUGUUACUCUUUCCAUUGGUAAACAGAUUUUAAGUUAUUGACAUGUUUCUUGAUCCCUUAAGGAGUUAAAUGUUAAGAUAUUUUUGCUCCAUAUGACACAACUCGUCCUUCUACUUUGCUUCAUAGAUUUUCAAUAUUGAAUCGAUUUAUGUUAAUAGUUUUGUAAAUUUGAUUGUAGGAUAUCUAUGAAGUAUUUAAUUUUAGGAUUUUCAACAUCAAAUCAAUGAAGUAGUUACUUCUUAGGAUUAUUAGUAGUAAUUAAGUGUAGAUAAUACAUUAUCUACAAUUAACUACAAGUAAUAAUAUCAUGGAAUGAGCUACAAAUUUCAUCCGUUUUGCAUCAAAAGUUUGUUUUACAUGCAUUAAGAAAUUUCACUUGAAUGUUAAAAAAAAAAUCACUUGCAUGCUGUAACAAUUGGGUAUCACAUUGAGAUAUUGAAUCCUAACAAAAUAUAUAAGUAUAUAUGUGAUAUACAGAUGCAUAAAUUUAUAUUUAAACAUAACAAUGCAUGUUUUUGUACGAGCUCUUGCCAGUAAUUUAGCUUAUGGAUUUGCACUUUUACGAUUAUGAUCAUAUUAUAUUAUUACUUUUUCAGGUCAUGCUUGAUUAAUAGGUUUUUUUUUUUUUGCUUCGAACUAGUGGGAGUGUAAGAGGAAGAAGGCCACUGAUUUACAUAAAGAAAAGAAACUGAUUAUUAGAUAAACCCUCGAAGAAGGUCAAGCUUAAUAUAACUAUUUCUUCGUUUUAUGGUUUUCCUGUGUACUGUAUUCAUAUAUCACUGGCUCUUGUUAUGCUAUUUUAGCAAUAGGUUAUUUACUCAGGUUGUUCAGGUACUCAUGCGGUUUCUGGAGGCUGAGGAUAUUAGUCUCUUUGGAUAUGGUAUUCUUCCCAUUGGUAAGACCUAAGAAGGGUUUACGUUUUCAAACAUGAUAUUGACACGUUUUCUUGACACCUGAAGAGUUAGCUUAUGUUAGAUAUUAUUACUCCAUGUAACAUUUGCUUAUCUCUUGUCCAUCUACUUUACUUCAUUGAGUUUCAACAUUUAACAGACAUAGGUCUGUACAGCUUUCCUUGCAUAUAUAUGUUAAGUGUUUAUAUAUUUUCUAGAUAUAUAUUGGCAUAAGAUAUCAAUGAAGUAUAAUAAUAUUUAUGGCAGGGUUUUCAAAUGAAAUCAGUCGUAGUUAAUUGUAGAAAAAACCCCAAUAUCUACAAUUGGUUACGACAAUAUAAUGG
This 2123-nucleotide long non-coding RNA is filed under the name Brassica rapa (field mustard). Its description in RNAcentral is "long non-coding RNA (BRAP_LNC004144)". The record is from RNAcentral. Lineage: Eukaryota; Viridiplantae; Streptophyta; Magnoliopsida; Brassicales; Brassicaceae.